GACGAACGCUGGCGGCGUGCUUAACACAUGCAAGUCGUACGGUAAGGCCCUUUCGGGGGUACACGAGUGGCGAACGGGUGAGUAACACGUGAGUAACCUGCUCACAACUUUGGGAUAACGCUAGGAAACUGGUGCUAAUACUGGAUAUGUGCUCCUGCUGCAUGGUGGGGGUUGGAAAGCUCCGGCGGUUGUGGAUGGACUCGCGGCCUAUCAGCUUGUUGGUGGGGUAGUGGCCUACCAAGGCGGCGACGGGUAGCCGGCCUGAGAGGGUGACCGGCCACAUUGGGACUGAGAUACGGCCCAGACUCCUACGGGAGGCAGCAGUGGGGAAUAUUGCACAAUGGGCGCAAGCCUGAUGCAGCAACGCCGCGGGCGGGAUGACGGCCUUCGGGUUGUAAACCGCUUUCAGCAGGGACGAAGCUUUUUGUGACGGUACCUGCAGAAGAAGCACCGGCUAACUACGUG
Molecule: ribosomal RNA, 465 nt
Filed under: uncultured bacterium
Lineage: Bacteria
Description: partial 16S ribosomal RNA
Rfam family: Bacterial small subunit ribosomal RNA
Source: RNAcentral